GAUGAAGAACGUAGUGAAAUGCGAUAAGUAGUGUGAAUUGCAGAAUUCAGUGAAUCAUCGAAUCUUUGAACGCACAUUGCGCCCUAUAGUAUUCUGUAGGGCAUGCAUGUUCGAGCGUCAUUUGUACCUUCAAGCUUUGCUUGGUGUUGGGUGUUUGUCCUCUCCCUGGUGUUUGGACUCGCCUUAAAACAAUUGGCAGCCAGUGUUUUGGUAUUGAAGCGCAGCACAAUUUGCGAUUCUGGCCUUAAAAUACUAGCGUCCAUAAGUACAUUCUCACUUUUGACCUCGGAUCAUGUAGGGAUACCCGCUGAACUUAAGCAUAUCAAUAAGCGGAGGA
RNAcentral lists this unclassified non-coding RNA (337 nucleotides) under soil metagenome. RNAcentral describes it as "partial contains 5.8S ribosomal RNA, internal transcribed spacer 2, and large subunit ribosomal RNA". The stretch from base 1 to 120 matches the Rfam family "5.8S ribosomal RNA", at positions 35 to 154 of the family's 154-position model. The record is from RNAcentral.